This 26-nucleotide non-coding RNA is filed under the name Callithrix jacchus (white-tufted-ear marmoset). RNAcentral also lists the same sequence under 3 other names. Lineage: Eukaryota; Metazoa; Chordata; Mammalia; Primates; Cebidae. The record is from RNAcentral.
UAUGUGCCAGUUUGUCCAGACUCCCC